CGCUUCUCUUCUCUUCGUCAUUUCCGCUCCCUCAGGCAGACACGCCGCCUACUGCAACACAGGUCUCUCUCUCUCUCUCUCUCUCUCUCUCUCCCCCCGCGCCAUGGGUUCUGAUUAACGCCAUGGCAGUCUUCUCUCGUGUGCCUCCAAAGUUUGGAGGGGAAUCCGAAAUUUUCACUACAAGGCGUCGUUUGUGAUUUCCCCCCAAAAAUGCCGUUCUUAAUUUUGCGCUUUUGAUUUUUAUUGGGAAGUUAACUCUCAGAAGCCCCCUCUUCUCUCCUCUGUGUUUUGCCAGGUCCCAGCAACCCACUCUUCUCUCCUUUCCUCUGAGUUUCGCCAGGUUCAUAACGCCCUUUCUAAUCUCUCUCGAUUUCGAUUUGCUGGGGCGAGAUUAAGGCUCGAUCUCGGUUUGUAGCAGUGAGAUUAAGGUUUAAGGUCUUAACAAUUGAAAGUAUUCGGAUCUCGUAUCGCUCAGUUCUCACUAGGGACGGCGUUUUAUUGGAGUAUCAUGUAGUAUGUUGGUUAUUGAUUAUGAAGAUCGAAGUUGGAUUUUGGUUGUAGACGUGCUUGGGCUUUUUUUGGUUAUCUGUUUGUUGAAGUUGAACUAUUUAGUAUUUUGCGGUCCAUGAGGUUUAGAUACAUUUUGUUACUGAGCUUAGAUUUUUUUAUUUUCCCCCCGUAGUUGGACGUGUUGUUAUUGAGAUUGGAUUUUGUUGUUUUUUUGGAUACAAGUUGUUUUUUAACUAUUUGGUGGACACCUCUAUUUAUGAAAGUUUGUAUUUAUUUCUUGGAA
This is a long non-coding RNA of Rhododendron vialii, 793 nucleotides long. RefSeq lists it as uncharacterized. The record is from RefSeq and is a predicted model, not a curated record. NCBI's taxonomy places the organism in Eukaryota, Viridiplantae, Streptophyta, Magnoliopsida, Ericales, Ericaceae. The transcript has 3 exons.